AACGAACGCUGGCGGCAUGCCUAACACAUGCCAGUCGAACGAGACCUUCGGGUCUAGUGGCGCACGGGUGCGUAACGCGUGGGAACCUGCCCUUAGGUUCGGAAUAACUCCCCGAAAGGGGUGCUAAUACCGGAUAAUGUCUUCGGACCAAAGAUUUAUCGCCUUUGGAUGGGCCCGCGUUGGAUUAGCUAGUUGGUAGGGUAAAAGCCUACCAAGGCGACGAUCCAUAGCUGGUCUGAGAGGAUGAUCAGCCACACUGGGACUGAGACACGGCCCAGACUCCUACGGGAGGCAGCAGUGGGGAAUAUAGGACAAUGGGCGAAAGCCUGAUCCAGCAAUGCCGCGUGAGUGAUGAAGGCCUUAGGGUUGUAAAGCUCUUUUACCCGGGAUGAUAAUGACAGUACCGGGAGAAUAAGCUCCGGCUAACUCCGUG
RNAcentral lists this ribosomal RNA (433 nucleotides) under uncultured bacterium. RNAcentral's name for it is "partial 16S ribosomal RNA". It matches the Rfam family "Bacterial small subunit ribosomal RNA", at positions 29 to 507 of the family's 1533-position model. The record is from RNAcentral.